GACGAACGCUGGCGGCGUGCUUAACACAUGCAAGUCGAACGGAAAGGCCCUGCUUUUGUGGGGUGCUCGAGUGGCGAACGGGUGAGUAACACGUGAGUAACCUGCCCUUGACUUUGGGAUAACUUCAGGAAACUGGGGCUAAUACCGGAUAGGAGCUCCUGCUGCAUGGUGGGGGUUGGAAAGUUUCGGCGGUUGGGGAUGGACUCGCGGCUUAUCAGCUUGUUGGUGGGGUAGUGGCUUACCAAGGCUGUGACGGGUAGCCGGCCUGAGAGGGUGACCGGCCACAUUGGGACUGAGAUACGGCCCAGACUCCUACGGGAGGCAGCAGUGGGGAAUAUUGCACAAUGGGCGGAAGCCUGAUGCAGCAACGCCGCGUGCGGGAUGACGGCCUUCGGGUUGUAAACCGCUUUCGCCUGUGACGAAGCGUGAGUGACGGUAAUGGGUAAAGAAGCACCGGCUAACUACGUG
RNAcentral lists this ribosomal RNA (468 nucleotides) under uncultured bacterium. RNAcentral's name for it is "partial 16S ribosomal RNA". It matches the Rfam family "Bacterial small subunit ribosomal RNA", at positions 28 to 507 of the family's 1533-position model. The record is from RNAcentral.